Molecule: ribosomal RNA, 402 nt
Filed under: uncultured bacterium
Lineage: Bacteria
Description: bacterial SSU rRNA
Rfam family: Bacterial small subunit ribosomal RNA
Source: RNAcentral
GGGCCCGCACAAGCGGUGGAGCAUGUGGUUUAAUUCGAUGAUACGCGAGGAACCUUACCAGGGUUUAAAUGCAGAACGACAGGGGUGGAAACACCCCCUUCUUCGGACGGACUGCAAGGUGCUGCAUGGUUGUCGUCAGCUCGUGCUGUGAAGUGUCGGGUUAAGUCCCAUAACGAGCGCAACCCCCAUUUCUAGUUGCCAGCGGUUCGGCCGGGGACUCUAGAGAAACUGCCAGCGUAAGCUGUGAGGAAGGUGGGGAUGACGUCAAAUCAUCACGGCCCUUACAUCCUGGGCCACACACGUGCUACAAUGGUGGGGACAAAGGGCAGCAAACUCGCGAGAGCUAGCAAAUCCCAUAAACCGUGGCUCAGUUCAGAUCGUAGGCUGCAACUCGCCUACGUG